CAUAAGGGCCAUGAGGACUUGACGUCAUCCCCACCUUCCUCCGGUUUGUCACCGGCAGUCUCACUAGAGUGCCCUUUCGUAGCGACUAGUGACAAGGGUUGCGCUCGUUGCGGGACUUAACCCAACAUCUCACGACACGAGCUGACGACAGCCAUGCAGCACCUGUGUUCAGGCUCCCUUGCGGGCACGCUCUCAUUACAAGAGCUUCCUGACAUGUCAAG
RNAcentral lists this ribosomal RNA (221 nucleotides) under uncultured beta proteobacterium. RNAcentral describes it as "partial 16S ribosomal RNA". The record is from RNAcentral. Lineage: Bacteria; Pseudomonadati; Pseudomonadota; Betaproteobacteria.